Molecule: ribosomal RNA, 510 nt
Filed under: uncultured bacterium
Lineage: Bacteria
Description: partial 16S ribosomal RNA
Rfam family: Bacterial small subunit ribosomal RNA
Source: RNAcentral
GACGAACGCUGGCGGCGUGCUUAACACAUGCAAGUCGAACGAAGAGCGACGGAAGCUUGCUUCUAUCAAUCUUAGUGGCGAACGGGUGAGUAACGCGUAAUCAACCUGCCCUUCAGAGGGGGACAACAGUUGGAAACGACUGCUAAUACCGCAUACGAUCUAAUCUCGGCAUCGAGGAUGGAUGAAAGGUGGCCUCUACAUGUAAGCUAUCACUGAAGGAGGGGAUUGCGUCUGAUUAGCUAGUUGGAGGGGUAACGGCCCACCAAGGCGAUGAUCAGUAGCCGGUCUGAGAGGAUGAACGGCCACAUUGGGACUGAGACACGGCCCAGACUCCUACGGGAGGCAGCAGUGGGGAAUCUUCCGCAAUGGACGAAAGUCUGACGGAGCAACGCCGCGUGAGGGAUGACGGCCUUCGGGUUGUAAAGCUCUGUUAAUCGGGACGAAAGGCCUUCUUGCGAAUAGGGAGAAGGAUUGACGGUACCGGAAUAGAAAGCCACGGCUAACUACGUG